UGAGGAAUACAUCGGAAUCUACGUUUUCGUGGGGGAUAACGUAUGGAAACUUACGCUAAUACCGCAAACGACCUACGGGUGAAAGCAGGGGACCUUCGGACCUUGCGCGAUUGAAUGAGCCGAUGUCGGAUUAGCGAGGUUGGCGGGGUAAAGGCCCACCAAGGCGACCAUCCGUAACUGGUCUGAGAGGAUGAUCAGCCACACUGGAACUGACACACGGUCCAGACUCCUACGGGAGGCAGCAUUGGGGAAUAUUGGACAAUGGGCGCAAGCCUGAUCCAGCCAUACCGCGUGGGUGAAGAAGGCCUUCGGGUUGUAAAGCCCUUUUGUUGGGAAAGAAAUCCAGCCGGCUAGUACCUGGUUGGGAUGACGGUACCCAAAGAAUAAGCACCGGCUAACUUCGUGCCAGCAGCCGC
Molecule: ribosomal RNA, 416 nt
Filed under: uncultured Stenotrophomonas sp.
Lineage: Bacteria; Pseudomonadati; Pseudomonadota; Gammaproteobacteria; Lysobacterales; Lysobacteraceae
Description: bacterial SSU rRNA
Rfam family: Bacterial small subunit ribosomal RNA
Source: RNAcentral